CAUCUUCAAUCUGUUGCGGGCAAAUGAAGUGGAUGUGGCUGUCAAAGCCCCCGGCGGUCAGGAUACGUCCCUCGCCUGCGAUGACCUCCGUGCCUGGCCCGACAAUGAUGCUCACACCCGGCUGGGUAUCCGGGUUGCCCGCCUUGCCGAUGGCCGCAAUACGCCCAUCUUUCAGCCCGACAUCCGCCUUGUAGACGCCGGUCCAGUCGACGAUCAGCGCGUUGGUGAUCACAGUGUCCACAGCACCGGCGGCACGGGUGGUCUGGGCUUGUCCCAUGCCGUCGCGGAUG
Molecule: small RNA, 290 nt
Filed under: Sagittula marina
Lineage: Bacteria; Pseudomonadati; Pseudomonadota; Alphaproteobacteria; Rhodobacterales; Roseobacteraceae
Description: alpha proteobacterium F028-2 5' ureB small RNA
Rfam family: 5' ureB small RNA
Source: Rfam by way of RNAcentral